This 240-nucleotide long non-coding RNA is filed under the name Lathyrus oleraceus (garden pea). Its description in RNAcentral is "Pisum sativum (pea) long non-coding RNA (PSAT_LNC029073)". The record is from RNAcentral. Lineage: Eukaryota; Viridiplantae; Streptophyta; Magnoliopsida; Fabales; Fabaceae.
UGUAACACGGUGGGAGAACUGACUUUAGUUAAAUGUUGCGGAUAGCAAGAGUCGCCACCGACUUUUAUUUUAUCCAAAAGGAAAGGACAUAAAAGAAUAGGAAAGACCUUAAAAAGAUUUUGAGUUCGGGGGGUAGGUUAUACAAAGGGAAGGUAUUAGCACCCUUUAUAUCCAUGGUUAUCCAUGGGCUCUUAGUUACUUAGCUCACUUUGUUUGUUUGCAAGAGUGUAGUGUGUGAUU